UGCAUUGCCAUGGGCGAAGCCUGAGCAGCAACGCCGCGUGGGGGAUGAAGGCCUUCGGGUUGUAAACCUCUUUCGCAGGGAAGAAGCGAAAGUGACGGUACCUGCAGAAGAAGCACCGGCUAACUACGUGCCAGCAGCCGCGGUAAUACGUAGGGUGCGAGCGUUGUCCGGAUUUAUUGGGCGUAAAGAGCUCGUAGGCGGUUAGUCACGUCGGAUGUGAAAUCCCGGAGCUUAACUCCGGGCCUGCAUUCGAUACGGGCUGACUCAAGUGUUGUAGGGGAGACUGGAACUCCUGGUGUAGCGGUGAAAUGCGCAGAUAUCAGGAAGAACACCGGUGGCGAAGGCGGGUCUCUGGGCAACUACUGACGCUGAGGAGCGAAA
RNAcentral lists this ribosomal RNA (381 nucleotides) under uncultured bacterium. RNAcentral's name for it is "bacterial SSU rRNA". It matches the Rfam family "Bacterial small subunit ribosomal RNA", at positions 359 to 758 of the family's 1533-position model. The record is from RNAcentral.